AGAAUGUGGUAGUGGGUAUAAGGAUAAUCUGGCUUGAUCCUGAGGGUUGAUUCUGCUGAUCUGGCUGGCUAGGGGAGUGUCCCUUUCCCUCAAUAUUCUGCAUGCAUCCCUCCCAAAGCUACACACUUGGUUGAAGAGGACACACUUUGCCUAAUAGUAAAUCUCCUCCCCGAGAACAUCCAAAUAAGCUCUCAAGAAUGGUAAGUAAUGUUUAUUCACCUCUGGGUGUUCCUGUGAGGGUGUUUCCAGAGAUGGGUAGAUCAUAAAAUAUGGAAAGCCUUCUGGGGUGUCACUUGGCAGGAGUCUGACAUUGGCC
This 316-nucleotide small nuclear RNA is filed under the name Mus caroli (Ryukyu mouse). Its description in RNAcentral is "sRNA (MGP_CAROLIEiJ_G0008848.1)". It matches the Rfam family "7SK RNA". From Rfam's summary of the family: 7SK was discovered as an abundant small nuclear RNA in the mid-70s but a possible function has only recently been suggested. Lineage: Eukaryota; Metazoa; Chordata; Mammalia; Rodentia; Muridae. The record is from RNAcentral.